AUGAACCCAGCAGUUUCACGCCUCCUCUGCCUUUGUCAAGGUAAUCAGGCCAUUGAGGACUAUGUGGAGGACUUUUGUGGUUUGUGUCAUCUUGUGGCUUUUAAUGACGUUGCGCUUAAAGACAUUUUUCGAAUAGGUUUAAAUGAACCUAUUCGUUCUCAGUUGCCUGGGGGAAAGAUUUGUUGGUCACUAGAGGAAUAUAUUGACCGAGCUCUUUUGCUGGCUGGUUCAUCAUUUACUGUAGGGAUUGCGGAUGAGGAACACUGCAAUCCUGCAGUAGCCACCAUGCCUGCUAAGCCACGGCCUGCUCACAUCAUGUCUGCUACCCCAGGGUUUGCUCACGUCAUGCCUGCCAAGCCAGCACCUGUUCAUGUCAUGCCUGCUACGCCAGAGCCUACUCAUAUCAUGUCAGUGUCUCAAGAGAUUCUCCACAACAUGGCCGCUAUUCAGGAGCUCCGUCGCAAAAUGGCUGGCACUCAAGAGUCUCUUCAGAAAAUGGCCGCCAUUCUAGAGCCUCGUCACGCCUCAGCUGAGCUUCCGGAGCCUCGUCACGCCUCACCUGAGCUUCCGGAGCCUCGUCACGCCUCAGCUGAGCUUCCGGGGCCUCGUCACGCUUCAGCUGAUCAUCCAGGGUCCCAUCUCGACAUGGUCGCCACUCCAGGGUCCCGUCACGACAUGGCCGCCACUCCAGGGUCCCGUCACGACAUGGCCACCACGCCUGAGUCCCCGGCCAAGAUGGCCACCACGCCUGAGUCCCCGGCCAAGAUGGCCACCACGCCUGAGUCCCCGGCCAAGUUGGCCACCACGCCUGAGUACCCGGCCAAGAUGGCCACCACGCCUGAGUCUCGUCAAGUUUCGGCAGUCACUAAGACUGUUCCCGUGGCCUCAGUACUUCUAGUAAUGGCAGUCACCAUUUUGAGCGUGUGGCCUGCACACUGUGCUCCAGAGACUUUUCCGGUCCACGAGUCUGGGCCGUCCACGAGCUCUCUGCCUGCCCUGUCACGGCCAAGGAGGCCGUCCACAAACUCUCUGCCUGCCCUGUCAUGGCCAAGGAGGCCGUCCAUGAACUCUCUGCCUCCCCUGUCACGGCCAAGGAGGCCGUCCACGAACUCUCUGCCUGUCCUGUCAUGA
Molecule: long non-coding RNA, 1131 nt
Organism: Cyprinus carpio carpio
Lineage: Eukaryota; Metazoa; Chordata; Actinopteri; Cypriniformes; Cyprinidae
Source: Ensembl